CAAACCCAAAACUCUGCCUAGAGAACUCUCACUUCCACGUUUACAUAUCUCUUUGUAUCUUGUGAGGACCGUGAGGAGAGCAGAGCCUAGACCUAGUCGGGUCGGGUGACUAUGUCCCUUGCUCACUCUCCUCACAUGGAUGGUGAGAGCUGGGGAGCUAUGGGAUGUUUCAUCUGCCACCAAAUCCCCCUCACCAAUCUUUAUUUUCCACCAUCUCCACCUCUCCCUUAAACCCCCCUCUCCCUCUUCCCUUCUCUCUCUCUCUCUCUCUCUCUCACACCCCCCCCCCCCCCCUCUGUCUCUCUCUCUCUCCCUCAUCUCUCUCCCUCAUCUCUCCCCCUCUCUCUAACACCCCCCCUCUUUCUUAUUCCCUCCCCUGCCCCUUUAUUUUCACCUUCACAGAUGACAAAUAGGUGAUCUUCAGCCUCGGCCUACCCCGGCCGGGGGGUAACCCCUGUUGGGUCACCUAUAUUGAAGAUUAAGAGAGACCUGAAGGGGAACCGCCGUGCCACCUAAAUCCUCCCCCUCUAACAUCUUUUUUAACACUCUAAAAUUAGCCAGCUAACCCCACUACAAACAACUUCAUCAAAAAUUUAAAUAAUAAAUACUUAUUGAUAACUGACCAUCAGUGACACCAGACUAAGCUAGUAAAAAAGAACACACAUACACGUGCAGAUUUUCCCUUAGGACAUUGAUCAAAUUUACAUUUCUGUCUGUCUUUUAGGGAACUGUUCUCUGUUUUUAAGCUCACUUCCGUUUUUUGCUAUUUGCUCUUGACACUUCUUUUUUUCCUUUUUUCUUCUCCUUUCCCUUUUGCAAUCCACUUUUGUUCUUCUUUUAUUUUUUAUUUUUUCAUUGUUUUAUAUUAUUUCAUUUUAUUUUAUUUUAUUUCAUUUUAGGGUUCCUGUGCUUUUGUUUGUCUUCCCCCCUCCCCUCUUUUUUCUUAGGAAGGACUGACUCCUGAGGUUCUCAUGCCAGGAAAAAUGUACCUCCCUCACUCACGGUUUUACCCACAAUCCUUUGCUGCAACAGGGAGAUUGAUUCCCAAGGCUCUCAUGGCAGAAAGGAAGUACCUCACUCACUCACGGUUUUACCCACAAUCCUUUGCUGUAACAGGAAGAUUGAUUCCUUAGGCUCUCAUCCCUCAGAACUAAAAUACCCACAAUCCCUUACGAUUGCAUACAAAUUUAAUGUAGCAAAACUAAAUUUAAAAUAAAUAAACUACAUUAAAAUUAACUUAAAACAACUUGAAAGUUUAAAAUACAACCAAGAGACAUCCAUUCUGGAAUACAAACAUCGAGAAGAGAACACAACCAUGUCUGAGAGGAACAGCACGAACCAUGACUCGAGCCCAACUCUGGGGAUGUCUUCUCCUGUCAAAAGCACAUUUAAGUGCUGUGCACUAAAGAGCAAUUCCUGUUCCUGUAAUUGAGACAAAGCACUGACCACUGGACCAAGAAGACCGACCACCGCCUCGAGGAAGACGCCGCGCCGCCACCUGAAAGAAGACGCCGCACCUCCAUCACUCCAAGCCGCCCACCACCGAGCUUCGACCCGCCGACGGCACCGAGUCCCAGCAAACCUUGCCGCGGAGCGCCUAUCUUCUUUCCCCCGCCGAGGACCCCGGACUUCAGACACACCGCUGCCGCCGCGGCUGGACAGCUGGAACCUUUUCCCCCCUCCAACAGAUUUUAGACUACUGGAAAAGAAACGCCUCACAUCAACAACAACAUAGGACCACUAGGGUAAGUCUACAAAAAACCUCUCAAACACCUCAAAAUUACUCUAAAUAGUUAGUUUUGUUUGUUGAACUUGAGUUUGUGUCUUUUUGAACUUGAGUUUGUGUCGUUUUUGAACUUGAGUUUGUGACAUUUGUUGAACUUGAGUUUGUGGUGUUUGUUGAACUUGAGUUUGUAUCGUGUUUGAAAUUGAGUUUGUGGUGUUUUUGAACUUGAGUUUGUGUGUUUUUUGAAUUUGAGUUUGUGGUGUUUUUGAACUUCAUUUUGUGGCACUUUUUUAAACUGAGUUCGUUGAACUUGAGUUUUUGGCAAUUGUUUAAUGUGAAUAUAGGUCAUUUGUUGAAUUUGAAAUUUUGUCAUUUUUUGAACUUAAGCUUGUGGUGUUUGAUGAACUUGAGUAUGUGGCAAUUGUUAACCUUGAGUCUGUAUUUUUCUCUGAACUUUACUUGGUGGCAAUUGUUGAACUUGAGUUUGUGGUGUUUUUCUGUACUUGAGUUUGUGGCGUGUUUGAACUUGAGUUUCUGUUGGUUUUGAACUUGAGGUUGUGGAAAUUGUUAAACUUGAGAUUUGGGAUUUGGUUGAACUUGAGUUUGUGAAUCGUGUUUGAACUUGAGUUUGUGGUGUUUUUGAUCUUGAGCUUUUGUGUUUUUUGAACUGAAGUUUGUGGCAAUUGUUAAACUUGUGACUUAGGUGUUGGUUGAACUUGAGUUUGUGGUGUUUUUGAACUUGAGUUUGUGAAGUGUUUGAACUAGAUUUUCUGGUUGUUUUUUAACUUGAGUCUGUGUGUUUUUCUAACUUGAGUUUGUGGAAAUUGUUAAACUUGCGAAGUGGGCAUUGGUUGAACUUGAGUUCGUGUGUUUGUUGAACUUGAGUUUUUGUCAUUUAGAACUUGAGUUUGUGGUGUUUUUGAACCUGAGUUUUUGGCGUUUGUUGAACUUAAGUUUUUGUCGUUUGGAACUUCAGUUUGUGGUGUUUUUGAACUUGAGGUUUUGGCAGAUGUUAAACUUGAUAUUUGGGUGUUGUUUGAACUUGAGUUUGUGUCGUGUUUGAACUUGAGUUUGUGUCGUGUUUGAACUUGAGUUUGUGUCGUGUUUGAACUUGAGGUUGUGGAAAUUGUUAAACGUGAGAAUUGGGUAUUGGUUAAACUUGAGUUUGUGUGUUUGUUGACCUGAGUUUGUGUCGUGUUUGAACUUGAGAUUUUGCUGUUUUGUGAUCUUGAAUUUGUGUGGGUUUUUUUUAACUUGAGUUUUUGGUGUUUUUGAAUUUGAGAUUCUGUUGUUUUUGAACAUGAGGUUGUGGCAAUUUGUUAAACUUGAGAUUUGGGUGUUGGUUGAAAUUAAGUUUCGGCAUUUUUGAACUUGAGUUUGUGGUGUUUUUGAACUUGAAUUUGUGUGUUUUUUGAACCUGAGUUUGUUGAACUAAAGUUUUUGGCAAUUCUUUAAUGUUAAUAUAGGUUAUUUGUUGAAUUUUAAAUUUUGGCAUUUUUUGAACUUAAGCUUGUGGUGUUUGUUGAACUUGAGUUUGUGGCAAUUGUUAACAUUGAGUCUGUAUUUUUCUCUGAACAUUAGUUGGUGGCAAUUGUUGAACUUGAGUUCGUGUGUUUGUUGAACUUGAGUUUGUGUCGUGUUUGAACUUGAGUUUGUGUCGUGUUUGAACUUGAGUUUGUGUCGUGUUUGAACUUGAGUGUUGUGUUUGAACUUGAGUUUGUUGCAAUUUUUGAACUUGAGUUUUGAACUUGAGUCUUUGGUUUUUAGUGAACUUUAUUUGGUGGCAAUUGUUAAACUUGAGUUUGUCGCGUGUUUGAACUUGAGUUUGUGUUGUUUUUUAACUUGAGGUUUUGGCAAUUGUUAAUCUUUAGAUUUGGGUGUUGGUUGAACUUAAAACUUUGACAUUUGUUGAACUUGACUUUGUGGUGUUCAUUUAACUUGAGUUUGUGGUGUUUUUGAACUUGAAUUUGUGUGUUUUUUGAACUUAAGGUUGUUGCAAUUUUUGAACUUGAGUUUGUUGAACUUGAGUUUUUGGCAAUUGUUAAAUGUGAGUUUAGGUCAUUUGUUGAAUUUGAAAUUUUGGCAUUUUUUGAACUUAAGAUUGUGGUGUUUGUUGAACUUGAGUUUGUGGCAAUUGUUGAACUUGAGUCUGUAUUUUUCCCUGAACUUUAGUUUGAAUUUUUGUGUGUUUUUUGAAUUUAAGUAUGUGGCAAUUGUUAAACUUGAGAUUUGGGUGUUGGUUGAACUUGAGUUUGUGGUGUUUUUGAACUUGAGUUUGUGUGUUUGUUUAACUUGAGUUUGUGGCGUGUUUUGACUUGAGUUUCUGUUGUUUUUGAACUUGAGGUUGUGGCAAUUGUCAAACUUGAGAUUUGGGAUUUGGUUGAACUUGAGUUCGUGGCGUGUUUGAACUUGGGUUUGUGGUGUUUUUUAACUUGAGUUUGUGGCGGUGUUGAGCUUGAGUUUGUGGCAUGUUUUAACCUGAAUUUUUGUUGUUUUUCUUACUUGAGGCUUCGGCAAUUGUUAAACUUUAGAUUUGGGUGUUGGUUGAACUUGAGUAUGUGGUGUUUUUGAACUUGAGUUUGAGUUUGUUUGUUUGUUGAACUUGAGUUCGUGGCGUGUUUGAACUUGAGUUUGUGUUCUUUUUGAACUUGAGGUUGUGGAAAUUGUUAAACUCGCCCUCCUCGAGCCAUCAUGAAGGCGGAGGUGGCGGGGUAGAGCAGCAAUGAACAAACCCCCCCUGGAACAGGAGCGCUUCAAGGACAGUGGAGCAAUUAGCUGGCACGAGGGUGGAGCUGGUGUGGCAGUGUGUUGCUGGUUUGCUGUCAGAGCAGAGGAAGAGGCUGGGUUAGUGCAGUUUUAAAUAAGGCACUCUAUAGGCAAAGAACCAAUGGGAUCUAGGUGUGAAUCAGCUGAUUAUCAUCUGGUUGAGGUGGCUACUAGCCAUUGGCUGUGGAUCAGCGCUUGACGUUGUGUCCUGACAGAACUAACGCUAUGCUUCAUUUCAGUCAGGUACACUUUGUCCAAAUUUUUAGCUUUAUUGUGCAAGUUAGAUUUGGCGGCAUGAUUCUGUUCCGGGUCCCUGCCCUUCCACGCGCUUGUGUGGAAGCCCGAGGCAGGAAGAGCCCCUUCCUGCCUUUCACGAGCCAUCAUGAAAGGCGAUAGCAGGGAGCGCACGCGAGGUUCUGUUCAGGGCCCCCGUUCUCCACGUUGGCAGGGGUGAAAGGCCAGCGGCAGGAAGAGCACCUUCCCGCCCUCCACGUGCCAUCAUGAAGGCGGAGGAGGCAGGGGUAGAGCAGCAAUGAACAGAACCCCCCCAAAACAACCAUGCCGUGCAGUCUAGGAGCUAGCAGGGGAGGUGAGCGCUGCUGAAAGAAAGACAGGUUAGAGAGACCCGUUGCCCAAGCAUGGAUAUUUAUCUGCAGGUUGUUUAUAUAUUUCAUUUAAUUAGCAUCUAUGUGCCAAAGUUAUGGGUACUCAUAGUUUUUGGGCUUCGAGAAUGUCCCGAGCCUCGGGGCGCAGAUAGCAUUUGUACGCAGCUGACGACUAUUGGCCCAUGGCUUUGAGGGUCGACACAGGAGCCGUCAUAGCUGCGGUUGUAGCUGCACCUAUGUGAAAGGAAUGAGCCGUGUAGCGAUCUGAAGGAUGUGUGGAGGGCGAUCAGCUAAGCUGUCAUCUGACUGAGGGCUAGCUUAAGAUCAGCUGGCUUUAACCUUUAGCUUGACUGUACCUUGUGUCCUGCCUGAACUACAGCCAUGCUUAAUUUCAGUCAGGACUACUUUAGUUAGAAUCAAUUAUUUAUUACUAGCAAAAUAUUUUUUAACAUUGUCGGUAUGGCUGUGUUCCGAGAGUUCCCUGCUCUCUCAUGUGCUUGCAUAGAAUCCCAAGGCAAUGAGAGGGAAUGCCCUCCCCUCCCUUUCAUGUGCAUAUAUGAAAAGCCAAGGCAGAAAAAGCAGCAGCCAUACUGGCAACCCUCCCCAGCUUUCAUGAGCUACAUGAAGGCACCUACGGGGGAGGGAGGGCAGCCAGCAGCGAGAAACUAUGAAGCAACCUACCCACCUACAAAGCUUGCAUAGUAUUGGUUACCCUCACAACAUGAUCAUGGAUCAGGAUUAAUUUAAUCCAUACACAAAUUUAUAGUUGGGAAUAUGCGUAAUGCAAUAGAUAUGGGAAAGAAUUAAGGAGCAGCAGCAUUUUUUUUUUUUGUAGCUAAUCGAGCAUAGGAAUAUUCUAAUAAUAAUAAUAUAUUAGCCUUGGGCCUGAGGUAUCAUUCAAAGGCUGAUCGGGACCAUUGACCCGUAGCCUUGAGCGUCGAGACGGGGACGAUGGAAGAUGCAGUUGUAGCUGUGCCUAUGCGUGGUGAAUGCGUAGAGUUGUACUCAGGUAGGAGCCAACAGGAUUGGCAGAGCAGGCAGAGGUGAGCAGAAAGCUGCAAUCUGGAUAUAGGUUUCCCUUCUUCAGUGGCAAAGAGAGACUCUUAGUGGCUGGCCAGUGGCCGGCCUCUCAGGCAGCGGGACAUGGAGGAUAAAGAACAAAGACAGAGUUAGUUUUGGAAAUAUUAGAAGAAGAAAAAAAGUGCGAGAUUCAAAACUGUGGACUAUUAAAGCACAUACAAUGGAUAUAUUUAGGGCGUUGGGGCUACAGAGAAGGUGGUACAAAAGAGGUAAAGUGAGACCAUGCAGAAUCGUAUAAACUUUAAUGCUGAUUUUGCUUAACCAGCUCUCAAGUAGCUGUCAACAGAGAGCACUAAGGAUUGCAAGGCUGCACUCAGACUAACACAGUCUGAAUGAAUGGCUUCACGAACAGCCGUUGGGAUGCUUUGCCAGUGCCUUCCCCGGCUCAAGGACAUUUGACAGAGUAGACAGCUUUGUUCUUUCCCGUUUUACCAGGUGGGUGCGUCAUGGGCAUGCUGAUUUCAGAUGCCCGUCCCUGGAGUAACUUGGCUUCUCCGAGUAGUAGGCUUAGAGAGGCUUGGGUGGUUGGCCUGUAGCCACAGUUUUAGGGCACCGAUUAGAGGUGUGGGCAGGGGUGGACAAGGUAGGAUAAGGUUCCUCCAGGUACUGUACCCGUAGACUUUGUACAAGAGGAGCACACCCAGGUUAAGCGAGUUGCUGACUCCGAUGCCACAGUAUCAUCAUCUGCUGUAUCUCUCUCUUAAACAUAAAAUUAUUAUUAUUAUUAUUAUUAUUAUUAUUAUUAUUAUUAUUAUUAUUAUUAUUAUUAUUAUUUUCCUCUCCAUUUUGUCUUAUUUCUGCAUUAAUAUUGAAGCAGCUGACUCUUUAAAAGUUCCCUCCUUCCGCAAAAGGCGGAAGGUGGGCCCCUGCACCUAGGCAACCAGCGUCCAAUCAAAAGUGCGCACUGGUGCUCCCACUUGGAGUUUAUUUGUAAGCAAAUACCACUCACUCUCAAGCGGCAUGGUCCUAUUGGAUUACUUCGGUUAUAACGCAGAGUGCAGACUGAUGUGCAGCAACAGACUAAGCCUAGAUACAUGACAGGGGUGAAAACUUUAAACAGCUGAUUAUGUCUUCCCGAAAUGGCGUACUGCUGCGUAAUGGCUUACUUUCACCUCCAGGUGAGAGAAAGACCCGCAGAUUAAGCAGGAAAAAGCUUGAUGCUCGGUGAAUUGUUAACUGAUUAGAGCCAGGUCGACUACGGACUGAUCAAGUCUUUGGCUGAAUCUUUGAAUGUACUUAGCAGCUUUGCUGAAAAUGAUUUGUAAUGUUCCUAGAAUAGUGAUCCUCCCUAUGUCAUGGCUGAAUCAGAAAUAAUGGCGAGAUAUGUGUCCAGUUCAGUUCUGCGUGCUGAAAACACUUUACAUAUGACAUCUACAAAUACGCCGAAAGCUAUGAAUUCAGCCAAGGUCGGAGAUUUAAACAGCCAGGCAUCACGAUAUUUAAGCAUCACAGGCUCAUCUCCGCAAUCCACAAUGCGUCUAUCAUUGUAGUCUGAGCACAGCAAGACUAAUGUCAGUACCUGCAAGGAUUUGGCUCCGCGGAUUAGGUGUAAUUGCAGCCGCGACCAGGUCGCGUCGCGUUGCGUGGUGCUCUGGUGUGUUCACACUAGGUCCAAAGCUGCGGUCGCAGGACACGGCUGGUCGCUGCUGACCCGCUUCUCCUACCUUCCAUCUCCCUCCUUUUCUCCCUCAUAUAUACAUCCCGCAGCCCAGUUCAAAUAUUUGAACUUUGGGAGCGACGAGACUUGGCGUCCUGCGACCUCGGCAACGCAACCUCGGCAACGCGACGCAGGUAGCCAGCAGUCGCCAAGUCGCGUCAGGUCGCGGCUGUCCAUAGACCUGCAUUGGGAGCCAUCGCCGACGUCACCGAAGUCGCGUUUGGUCUGAACACCCCUUAACGCUAAGCUUCAUAUUUGGGUAUUGGUUGACUUGAGUUUCUGUGUUUGUUGAACUUGAGUUUGUGACAUGUUUGAACUUGAAUUUGUGGUGUUUUUGAACUUGAGUUUGUGUGUUUGUUGAACUUGAGUUUGUGGCGUGUUUGAACUUGAGUUUGUGUUGUUUUUGAACUUGAGGUUUUGGCAAAUGUUAAACUUGAGAUUUGGGUGUUGGUUGAACUUGAGUUUGUGUCAUAUUUGAACUUGAUUUUUUUGCAAUUUUUGAACUUGAGUUUGUUGAACUUGAGGUUGUGGAAAUUGUUAAACUUGAGAAUUGGUAUUGAUUGAACUUGAGUUUGUGUGUUUGUUGAACUUCAGUUUGUCUCGUGUUUGAACUUGAGUUUCUGUUGUUUUUGAACUUGAGGUUGUGGCAAUUGUUAAACUUGAGAUUUGGGUGUUGGUUGAACUUGAGUUUGUGUCAUGUUUGAACUUGAGUUUGUGGUGUUUUUGAACUUGAGUAUGUGUGGUUUUUUAACUUAGUUUUGUGGCAAUUGUUAAACUUGAGAUUUGGGUGUUGGUUGAACUUGGGUUUGUGGUGUUUUUGAACUUGAGUUUGUGUCUUUGUUGAACUUGAGUUUGUGGCGUGUUUUAACUUGAGUUUCUGUUGUUUUUGAACUUGAGGUUGUGGCAAUUGUUGAACUUGAGAUUUGGGAUUUGGUUGAACUUGACUUUGUUUCAUGUUUGAACUUCAGUUUGGGGUGUUUUUGAACUUGAACUUGUGUGUUUUUUGAACUUGAGUUUGUGUUGUUAAGAACUUGAGUUUGUGGUGUUUUUGAACUUGAGUUUGUGUGUUUGUUGAACUUGAGGUUGUGGCAAUUGUUAAACUUGAUAUUUGGGUGUUGUUGAACUUCAAACUUUGAAAUUUGUUGAUCUUGAGUUUGUGGUGUUCGUUGAACUUCAGUUUCAGCAUUUUUUAACUUGAGUUUGUGGCAAUUUUUAAACUUGAGUUUGUUGAACUUGAGUUUUUGGCAAUUGUUAAAUGUGAGUUUAGGUCAUUUGUUGAACUUGAGUUUGUGGCAAUUGUUGAACUUGAGUCUGUAUUUUUCACUGAACUUUAGUUUGUAGCGUUUGUUGUACUUGAGUUUGUGGCGUUUGUUGUACUUGAGUUUGUGUCUUGUUUGAACUUGAGUUGGGGGUGUUUUUGAACUUUAGGUUGUGGCAAUUGUUGAACUUGAGGAUUGUGUGUUUGUUGAACUUGAGUUUGUCUCGUGUUUGAACUUGAGUUUCUGUUGUUUUUGAACUUGAGGUUGUUGAAAUUGUUAAACUUGAGAUUUGGGUUUUGGUUGAACUUAAAACUUUUACAUUUGUUGAACUUGAGUUUGUGGCGUGUUUGAACUUGAGUUUCUGUUGUUUUUGAACUUGCGGUUUUGGAUAUUGUUUAAUUUGAGAUUUGAGUGUUGGUUGAACUUGACUUUGUCAUGUUUGAACUUGAGUUUGUGGUGUUUUUGAACUAGAUUUUGUGUGUUUUUUGAACUUAAGUUUUCUGUCAAUUGUUGAACUUGAGUUUAUGGUUUUUGGUGAACUUUACUUGGUGGCAGUUGUUGAACUUGAGUUUGUGGGAUUUGUUGAACUUGAGCAUGUGUCGUGUUUGAACUUGAGUUUGAGGGGUUUGUUGAACUUGAGCUUGUGUCGUGUUUGAACUUGAGUUUGUGGUGUUUUUGAACUUGAGUCUGUGUUGCUUUUGAACUUGAGGUUUUGGAAAUUGUUAAACUUGAGAAUUGGGUAUUGGCUGAACUUGAGUUUUUGAACUUGAGUUUGUGUCAUGUUUGAACUUGAGUUUGUUGUGUGUUUGAAUUUGAGUUUGUGUGUUUGUUGAACUUGAGGUUGUGGCAAUUGUUAAACUUGAGAUUUGGGUGUUGGUUGAACUUGAGUUUGUGUCGUUUCAGAACUUGAGUUUGUGUCGUUUCAGAACUUGCAUUCCUGUUAUUUGUUUAACUUGAAUUUGUGUGUUUUUUGAACUUGAGGUUCUGAAAAUUUUUAAACGUGAGAAUCAUGUGUUGGUUGAACAUUAGUUUGUGGUUUUUGUUGAACUUGAGAAUUGGGUAUUGGUUGAACUUGAGUUUAUGGUUUUUUUUAACUUGAGUUUGUGUCGUGUUUUUAACUUGAGUUUGUGGUGUGUUUGAAUUUGAGUUUGUGUGUUUGUUGAACUUGAGGUUGUGGCAAUUGUUAAACUUGAGAUUUGGGUGUUGGUUGAACUUGAGUUCGUGUUAUUUUUUUAACUUGAGUAUGUGUUUUUAUACUUGAGUUUGUGUCGUUUUUGAACUUGAGGUUGAGGUUUUUUUGAACUGUUUCUGUUGUUUUUGAACUUGAGGUUUUGGAAAUUGUUAAACUUGAGAAUCAGGUGUUGGUUGAACUUCAGUUAGUGUGUUUGUUGAACUUGAGUUUGUGUCGUGUUUGAACUUGAGUUCGUGUCGUGUUUGAACUUGAGUUUGUGGUGUUGUUGAACUUGGGUUUGUGGUGUUUUUGAACUUUAGGUUGUAGAAUUUGUUAAACUUGAGAUUUGGGUGUUGGUUGAACUUGAGUUUGUGUCGUGUUUGAACUUGAGGCUGUGAAAAUUUUCAAACUUGAAUAUCAGGUGUUGGUUGAACUUGAGUUUUUUGUUUUGUUGAACUUUAGUUUGUGUCUUGUUUUAACUUAUGUUUGUGUUUUUUUUUAACUUGAGGUUGUGAAAAUUGUUAAAUUUAAGAAUUGGGUAUUUGUUGAACUUGAGUUUUUGGUGUUUUUUAAAUUGAGUUUGUUUCGUGUUUGAACUUGAGUUUGUGGCAAUUUUUAAACUUAAUAUUGGAUAUUUAACCCUAACGCCAAAAACCUUAAACCUUACCAUAGCCCCAUAACCUAAUACCCAGGUAUUACCUUCAGGAAGCCCGAACACCCCAAAUAUAUUUUUUUUCAUUUUUCAUUUUUUUUUAUCUAAAUAACUCCAAAAGGUCUGAAACAUGUUCCUAAAAAGGUUUUGGACACUGAUUUUAACCCUUACGCCAAAAAACUUAAACCUUACCCUAGCCCCAUAACCUAAUAACCUAAUAAUACCUUCAGGAAGCCCAAACACCCCAAAUAUAUAUAUAUAUUUUUUUUCUCUUUUUUUGUCUAACUAACUCCAAAAGGUUGGAAAAGAGUUCCUACAAAGGUUUUGGACAGUGAUUUUAACCCUAACGCCAAAAACCUUAAACCUUACCAUUGCCCCAUUACCUAAUACCCAGGUAUUACUUUCAGGAAGCCCGAACACCCCAAAUAUUUUUUUUCAUUUUUCAUUUUUUUUGGUCUAACUAACACCAAAAGGUUGGAAAAGAGUUCCUACAUAGGUUUUGGAGUGUGAUUUUAACCCUAACGCCAAAAACCUUAAACCUUACCAUAGCCCCAUAACCUAAUACCCAGGUAUUACCUUCAGGAAGCCCGAAAACCCCAAAUAUAUUUUUUUCAUUUUUCAUUUUUUUUGGUCUAACUAACUCCAAAAGGUUGGAAAAGAGUUCCUACAAAGGUUUUGGACAGUGAUUUUAACCCUAAUGCCAAAAACCUUAAACCUUACCAUAGCCCCAUGACCUAAUACCCGGAUAUUACCUUCAGGAAGCCCGAACACCCCAAACAUUUUUUUUUCAGUUUUCAUUUUCUUUUUGUCUAACUAACUCCAAAAGGUUGGAAAAGAGUUCCUACAAAGUUUUUGGACAGUGAUUUUAACCCUAACGCCAAAAACCUUAAACCUUACCAUAGCCCCAUAACCUAAUACCCAGGUAUUACCUUCAGGAAGCCCGAAAACCCCAAAUAUAUUUUUUUCAUUUUUCAUUUUUUUUGGUCUAACUAACUCCAAAAGGUUGGAAAAGAGUUCCUACAAAGGUUUUGGACAGUGAUUUUAACCCUAAUGCCAAAAAACCUUAAACCUUACCAUAGCCCCAUGACCUAAUACCCGGGUAUUACCUUCAGGAAGCCCGAACACCCCAAAUAUUUUUUUUUCAUUGUACAAUUUUUUUUAGUGUAACCAACUCCAAAAGGUCUGAAACAUGUUCCUAAAAAGGUUUCGGACAGUGAUUUUAACCCUCACGCCAAAAACCUUAAACCUUACCCAAGCCCCAUAACCUAAUACCCGGGUAUUACCUUCAGGAAGCCCGAACACCCCAAAUAUUUUUUUUUCAUUGUACAAUUUUUUUUAGUGUAACCAACUCCAAAAGGUCUGAAACAUGUUCCUAAAAAGGUUUCGGACAGUGAUUUUAACCCUCACGCCAAUAACCUUAAACCUUACCCAAGCCCCAUAACCUAAUACCCGGGUAUUAACUUCAGGAAGCCUGAACACCCCAAAUAUUUUUUUUUCAUCUUUCAUUUUUUUUUGGUGAAACCAACUCCAAAAGGUCUGAAACAUGUUCCUAACAAGGUUUUGGACAGUGAUUUUAACCCCAACGCCAAAAAACUUAAACCUUACCCUAGCCCCAUACCCUAAUACCCGGGUAUUACCUUCAGGAAGCCCGUAAACCCUAAAUAUUUUUUUUUCAUUUUUCUUUUUUUUUGGUCUAACUAACUCCAAAAGGUUGGAAAAGAGUUCCUACAAAGGUUUUGGACACUGAUUUUAACCCUUAUGCCAAAAACCUUAAACCUUACCCUAGCCCCAUGACCUAAUACCCGGAUAUUACCUUCAGGAAGCCCGAAAACCCCAAACAGUUUUUUUUCAGUUUUCAUUUUCUUUUUGUCUAACUAACUCCAAAAGGUUGGAAAAGAGUUCCUACAAAGGUUUUGGACAGUGAUUUUAACCCUAACGCCAAAAACCUUAAAUCUUACCAUAGCCCCAUAACCUUAUACCCGGGUAUUACCUUCAGGAAGCCCGAACACCCCAAAUAUUUUUUUUUCAUUGUACAAUUUUUUUUAGUGUAACCAACUCCAAAAGGUCUGAAACAUGUUCCUAAAAAGGUUUCGGACAGUGAUUUUAACCCUCACGCCAAAAACCUUAAACCUUACCCAAGCCCCAUAACCUAAUACCCGGGUAUUAACUUCAGGAAGCCUGAACACCCCAAAUAUUUUUUUUUCAUCUUUCAUUUUUUUUGGUGAAACCAACUCCAAAAGGUCUGAAACAUGUUCCUAACAAGGUUUUGGACAGUGAUUUUAACCCCAACGCCAAAAAACUUAAACCUUACCCUAGCCCCAUACCCUAAUACCCGGGUAUUACCUUCAGGAAGCCCGAAAACCCUAAAUAUAUUUUUUUCAUUUUUCAAUUUUUUUUGGUCUAACUAACUCCAAAAGGUUGGAAAAGAGUUCCUACAAAGGUUUUGGACAGUGAUUUUAACCCUAAUGCCAAAAACCUUAAACCUUACCAUAGCCCCAUGACCUAAUACCCGGAUAUUACCUUCAGGAAGCCCGAAAACCCCAAACAUUUUUUUUUCAGUUUUCAUUUUCUUUUUGUCUAACUAACUCCAAAAGGUUGGAAAAGAGUUCCUACAAAGGUUUUGGACAGUGAUUUUAACCCUAACGCCAAAAACCUUAAAUCUUACCAUAGCCCCAUAACCUUAUACCCGGGUAUUACCUUCAGGAAGCCCGAACACCCCAAAUAUUUUUUUUCAUUGUACAAUUUUUUUUAGUGUAACCAACUCCAAAAGGUCUGAAACAAUACUUAAACCUGAAGGGUAUUACCUUCAGGAAGCCCGAACACCCCAAAUAUAUUUUUUUCUUUUUUCUUUUUUUUUUUGUCUAACUAACUCCCAAAGGUCUGAAACAUGUUCCUAAAAAGGUUUUGGACACUGAUUUUAACCCUUACGCCAAAAAACUUAAACCUUACCCUAGCCCCAAAACCUUCAGGAACCCGAACACCCCAAAUAUUUUUUUUUCAUUUUACAUUUUUUUUGGUGUAACCAACUCCAAAAGGUCUGAAACAUGUUCCUAAAAAGGUUUUGGACAGUGAUUUUAACCCUAACGCCAAAAACCUUAAACCUUACCCUAGCCCCAUAACCUCAUACCCGGGUAUUACCUUCAGGAAGCCCGAACACCCCAAUUGUAUUUUUUCUUUUUUCUUUUUUUUUGGUCUAACUAACUCCAAAAGGUCAGAAAAGAGUUCCUACAAAGGUUUUGGACAGUGAUUUUAACUCUAACUCCAAAAACCUUUAACCUUACCCUAGCCCCAUAACCUAAUACCCGGGUAUUACCUUCAGGAAGCCCGAACACCCCAUUUUUUUUUUUUCAUCUUUCAUUUUUUUUUGGUGAAACCAACUCCAAAAGGUCUGAAACAUGUUCCUAACAAGGUUUUGGACAGUGAUUUUAACCCCAACGCCAAAAAACUUAAACCUUACCCUAGCCCCAUACCCUAAUACCCGGGUAUUACCUUCAGGAAGCCCGAAAACCCUAAAUAUAUUUUUUUCAUUUUUCAUUUUUUUUGGUCUAACUAACUCCAAAAGGUUGGAAAAGAGUUCCUACAAAGGUUUUGGACAGUGAUUUUAACCCUAAUGCCAAAAACCUUAAACCUUACCAUAGCCCCAUGACCUAAUACCCGGAUAUUACCUUCAGGAAGCCCGAAAACCCCAAACAUUUUUUUUUCAGUUUUCAUUUUCUUUUUGUCUAACUAACUCCAAAAGGUUGGAAAAGAGUUCCUACAAAGGUUUUGGACAGUGAUUUUAACCCUAACGCCAAAAACCUUAAAUCUUACCAUAGCCCCAUAACCUUAUACCCGGGUAUUACCUUCAGGAAGCCCGAACACCCCAAAUAUUUUUUUUUCAUUGUACAAUUUUUUUUAGUGUAACCAACUCCAAAAGGUCUGAAACAAUACUUAAACCUGAAGGGUAUUACCUUCAGGAAGCCCGAACACCCCAAAUAUUUUUUUUUCUUUUUUCUUUUUUUUUUGUCUAACUAACUCCCAAAGGUCUGAAACAUGUUCCUAAAAA
Xyrichtys novacula (pearly razorfish) is the source of this 14961-nucleotide non-coding RNA. NCBI's taxonomy places the organism in Eukaryota, Metazoa, Chordata, Actinopteri, Labriformes, Labridae. The record is from the annotation of a GenBank genome assembly.